RNAcentral lists this ribosomal RNA (503 nucleotides) under uncultured bacterium. RNAcentral describes it as "partial 16S ribosomal RNA". It matches the Rfam family "Bacterial small subunit ribosomal RNA", at positions 30 to 523 of the family's 1533-position model. The record is from RNAcentral.
AUUGAACGCUGGCGGCAGGCUUAACACAUGCAAGUCGAGCGGGGUGAUGGUGCUUGCACUAUCACUUAGCGGCGGACGGGUGAGUAAUGCUUAGGAAUCUGCCUAUUAGUGGGGGACGACACCUCGAAAGGGAUGCUAAUACCGCAUACGUCCUAAGGGAGAAAGCAGGGGAUCACUUGUGACCUUGCGCUAAUAGAUGAGCCUAAGUCGGAUUAGCUAGUUGGUGGGGUAAAGGCCUACCAAGGCGACGAUCUGUAGCGGGUCUGAGAGGAUGAUCCGCCACACUGGGACUGAGACACGGCCCAGACUCCUACGGGAGGCAGCAGUGGGGAAUAUUGGACAAUGGGGGGAACCCUGAUCCAGCCAUGCCGCGUGUGUGAAGAAGGCCUUAUGGUUGUAAAGCACUUUGAGCGAGGAGGAGGCUCUUUUGGUUAAUACCCAAGAUGAGUGGACGUUACUCGCAGAAUAAGCACCGGCUAACUCUGUGCCAGCCGCCGCAGUAA